UACGGAGGGUGCAAGCGUUGUUCGGAAUUAUUGGGCGUAAAGGGCGUGUAGGUGGCUCACCAAGUCUGGUGUGAAAGCCCACGGCUCAACCGUGGAACUGCAUUGGAAACUGGCGAGCUCGAGUAUUGGAGGGGGUCGCGGAAUUCCCGGUGUAGAGGUGAAAUUCGUAGAUAUCGGGAGGAACACCAGUGGCGAAGGCGGCGACCUGGCCAUUUACUGACACUGAGACGCGAAAGCGUGGGGAGCAAACAGG
RNAcentral lists this ribosomal RNA (253 nucleotides) under uncultured bacterium. RNAcentral's name for it is "partial 16S ribosomal RNA". It matches the Rfam family "Bacterial small subunit ribosomal RNA", at positions 524 to 776 of the family's 1533-position model. The record is from RNAcentral.